Chenopodium quinoa (quinoa) is the source of this 2692-nucleotide long non-coding RNA. RefSeq lists it as uncharacterized. The record is from RefSeq and is a predicted model, not a curated record. The transcript has 2 exons. Lineage: Eukaryota; Viridiplantae; Streptophyta; Magnoliopsida; Caryophyllales; Amaranthaceae.
UGUGGGAAGUUGGGUGGCGGUGGGGGUUUGGGAAGGCGGUUGGGCAGUGGAUGUUUGGGUAGGGGGCAAUGGGGUGGGUUGGGGUUUUUAUUAUUUUUAUUUUUUCUAAAGUGACUAAACAUUGCUGACGGAGUAUGGGGGUGGGGAGGAGGCUGCCGGAGAAUGGGGUUGGCUGGGGAGGGAUUGGCGGGUUGGGGUUUUUUUAAAAAAAAAAUCUUUUUUUUAUUUUUUGACUAAUUACGUGGUGACACGUGUUCAUUAAACAAAAAAAUUACCUCUUUAAUAGGUUACAGGUCACUUGGGUCCAAUAAAAGCAAAUGUCUUAUAAAUUCGGAUUAUUAAAUAAUAAUACGACUUUGGAAUUAUUAAAAGCAAAUAGCUCAAAGUUGAGAUUAUUAAAACCAAUUUUUUUUUUCUUAUAACAAUUAUGGUAAUUAUAGAAAAUAGGGGUUUUAUUUUUUAACCAUGAAUUUUAUUGGGGCACUACUACAUUUUUAAUCAAAUGCAACGGCUAAAAUAUGGCUAAUGCAACGACUACAUAGAUAGCCGUUGUAAUAGCUAGAUCUAUCGCAACGACUGCUUCAUACUUUCUCUAUAGAAGGGUCUAAUGCAACGACUAAGAGGUAACCGUUGUAAUAGGGAAAUCUAAUCAUUAAAAUAUAGGCGCGUAAAAUAAUCCCUCCUAAAUUUGCCCCAAAAUUAAAAGCCUUCACAUUUUCCUAAAAAACCCAUCCAAUAAAAGGCCCACUUAAUUUAUCUAUCCUUCAUAGUUCAUACGAGUAAUAAUCAUAAUCAACUAGCUGUUAUCUUCCUUAAAAAAAAAAAAAAAAAAUAGCUGUAAAAAGAAAUUAAAAGAAAUUAGUUCUCUUCCUCACCCAAAUUUACAAAUUCGAAAUUCGAAAAUUACGAGCAGCAUUUGAAUUAGAGGAGUGAUAAAGAAAGAGAUGUGAGAAAGUAGCUAGAAGUAUAUUCCUCAACCACCGUCAGGCGUCAGCUAGCCAGAGGAACGACAUUUUACGGUAGCAGCGAUGCCGGAGAUAAUAUACCUGCCGAGGACGGUCCAUUUUAUAUUUUCGUCCAGCGAUUUGUGUAUCCUUUGAUCCGAUGGUGUCCCUCAGUCUCUACCGGUUUUCAGCUUUUCAUAAUGUAAGUUUUCGCCCAAAAUUAAAACCCUAGAUUCAAAUUCACCUCUUUGUUUUUUUUUAUUUUAUACUGCUCAAGUGUUUAAAUUUGUUGGUGCAAUUUUACAUUUCUCUGUGUUUUUCAAUCAAAAUUUGAACACCGUAAUAGUUUCUAUGGUUUAAAUUGUCGGAGAGGAGCAAUUGGGAAGAAGAAGCAAAAAUAACUCCUUUCAGUUUUCUUAUAAUGAAAAAUGUUGUAGUUCUCAAAACUUGUGUGGUAUGACAUUAAUUCACAUAAUACUUUUUCAAUUUUCUAAUCACCUGUUGUUCUUAACACCGCUAAUAAUUAUUCUCAAUGAUUAUUCUCAAUAUAAUUAAGAUAUGAAAGUGGUAAUGCUAAACGCUUGAACAUGCUUCUAAGGUAAAUUACUUGUGUUUUUUAUUCAUUAGAUUUUUUCUAGAUUAUUGCAAUUGGUCGAUAAUUAAUUUACAAUAGAUGUUAAGUGGUGACUCUAAACCUGUUUCUCUUUUUUUCCCGGAUUUCAAACCAUUCCAGAGCUGUAUGAGUUUCUCUCAAGCCUCAACAUAACUGACCUGAUGCAUACUAAAUUAUGUAUAAAAUGUCAUGUAUUGGAUACAAAUGUAUUAGCAUAUUUAAUUGUGAGCAUUAUCUAAACCUGUCAAUAAUAAGUUUGAUUCGCUAAUUCUUAAAAACAGUCAGUCCAUUACCAUUAAUUUAGCUUAAUGUUACAUUAGAAGAAUAGUCUUCUCUCUCUCCUUUGGCUUAAUGUCAGGUUUCCACUAAUUGCUUGUGAAAGUUGUACAUUGAUUGAUAGCUCAUGGGGUGUGUUAGCCAGCGGUAUGCUCACGUUCUAAACAGCAUCAAGGUCACCCUUAUUGAUGUAUAUAUUUAUCAUUUACUUGUCAUUGCUUCUCUAAACAUUAGUUAUUUGCUUAUGAUCUCAGUAUCACCCUAAUUACCUCCCUUCGAAACACGCCAAUGAAAUUUUGUCAUCAUUUGAUAUGUGAUUGAGAGAAUAUGCAGCAAGUCACUAGACAAAGGUUAUUCAUAUAUUUCUGUCAUCAAACGCUUUACAAUGUUAUAUUGUAAAUAGGGCAACAAGUCUGCAGUUUCAUUAGUCUUUGAGAUAAAUCCUUAUGUUUAGAUAUCAUGAAGAACGUGGAUGUUCAAAAUGUCUGUGCAGAGCAAGAAAAGGUUGGAACAACUGAUUUUAUAAAUGAAAACCAAAGAGCUACUCCGUAAUAAGGGGAUUUAGAUCCAUUAGAUAUGUGUAAAUAGUGCUCUAGAGGUGGAUACUGAAACUGAAGAAGAUGCUUCCCAAAUUAUUCUCGAAUUGCUUUACUUGAGAAAUUGGAGUAGCAGAGAAAGAAAUGAUAAUGUUGCCCAAAGAAUUGCUGAAAAUAUUGUUUGGGGGACAAAAUUAUUUAGUUUUAACUUUUAAUUGUUUUUUUUCUUAGUUUAACUAGUGAUAAUUUAAUUUUGUAAAUUUCCUUAUAGAUAAUAAUGUACAAACUUUAAAUUCAUAUUAAUAAAAUCCUAAUCUUUUUUU